AUUGGCUACUGUAGAUAACGUGUGUGUCCCUCCCCUGCAUGGGAGCAGGGCAUAAAAGGAAACUGUAGCUUGAAUACCUGUUGUUGUUACUUCCAGUAAAGUCUUGUUCCAGCAUUAAGCCUUGGCUCAUGUUUGGGGGAUUGGAAAACUACACUCUGGGGAUUGCUAUAAUCACUUACUCCCCAGAGUAAACUCUUGCAAUAGCUUGAUUUGUUCCUGCUACGCUCUCUGGAUUUAGGAGAGGUUCACCCACUGGGAGCUGGAUCCUGGUCGUGGAUCCAGGGUGGGUGGAGACGGCGAGACCCCGGCGCAGCUGUAUCGCUGGAAGUGGGGUCUGCAGUGUUGAUG
Pelobates cultripes (western spadefoot toad) is the source of this 348-nucleotide non-coding RNA. The record is from the annotation of a GenBank genome assembly. NCBI's taxonomy places the organism in Eukaryota, Metazoa, Chordata, Amphibia, Anura, Pelobatidae.